This 10903-nucleotide long non-coding RNA is filed under the name Zea mays. RNAcentral's name for it is "long non-coding RNA (ZMAY_LNC002891)". Lineage: Eukaryota; Viridiplantae; Streptophyta; Magnoliopsida; Poales; Poaceae. The record is from RNAcentral.
ACCUACAUACCUAUCUACAGCAAGGGCGGAUGAGGAAGGGAUACAGUGGCGGCUGGCGCUACCUUGCCGUCGACGACGACCCAGCAGUCGUCGGGCGUGUUGUGGAGGGCAGCCUCCUUCAUGCUGUACAGCUUUGUCAGCGUCGGCAUCUACGUCCCCUCGCGACUCCUCCCUGUAUCAACCUAAUCGAAUCGGCGGUGACAAGGAGGCGGCGACUAUAUUAUAUGAGGGGCCGGGGCAACGACCGCCGCGGCUUGCCGGGGAGGAAGAGACUGCAGCAGCCUACACGGCUCGGGUCUUGGGAUCCUCGCCUGUGUUGCUAUCUUGUAGCGGAAGAAGAACAUGUUUGGAGGCGGAGGGGUGGGGGUGCUACAGGGUACUUGCCGUCUGCUUUGGUGGUCUUCUUGGGCUGCUAGGGUUAUUUUUUCCCUCACGGCCCAUGGGCUGAUUAGAAAUCGUCUUUAGACAUACCGUGUUGGAGGCCUGAAACAUCUAUCUAGCAGCACUUGAUCAGCAAUUAAUAAUAGACAAUGAGUAUAGAACUGUACCAAGAAACCCUGAGAUUUAAAAAGUGAUUGAUAUACGUCUCGUUAUUGAUGGGUAUAGACACCUACCUCUAAAAGAAAUAGACAUUUACCUAAUAAAUCAUCUUAGGUAAGAAUUGUACCAUGGUGAUUUAUUGCUUCGUUAUUGAUGGGUAUAGAACUGUACUAGGAUGCGGUUUUUUUUUGAGAAGGAUAAGAGGGCUGUUGGAGUAACAAAAAUCAGUUUUGACAUAAAUUUACAUCUUCUUUUGGAGUUUCUCUAACAGACUUAUUUUUCACUAAUGUUUAAUAUUUCUUCAUUGUAUAUCCGUAUAUAUUUGCUGCUGGUUAUGGUUAUGAGCCAGGAAGGUGUCAGCGUCCACGAAUACAAUACAACUUAAGUAUUCAUGCAAUAGAUAACAUUUGGAGCUAGUUUGAUAACUCCAUUUUUCUAAGUGAUUAAUAUUUUCACAAUGAAAAAUAAAUUAAUUUUUCUUGAUAAAAUAGAAAUCUUUUACGUCUUGUUUGGAUCAUUGGAAUUGAAUUCCAUUAUAAUAAUAGUAAUUUAGACAUAUAUCAAUUAAACUAAUUCAAUUUUAUGCAAAAUAUAUCAAUAUACUAUUAUUAGCAAGAUGUAGGAGAUGUUUAUUUGCUUUAUUUUUACUAUAAAGAAGUGAGUCGAAGAUCAUCUUGCAAGUUACAGAGUAGAAACAAAUUCUAGUAAUACAUAAAAUCAUUUCUCAUCCUCUACCCACAAAUUUGAGAUAAGUUUAUAUCAGAAUUUUGAAAAUAAUGGAAUAUGAAAUCUCAAGCUAAAUAGGUUACUUUAUUAAGUGAAAUUUCAAUUCCUCUAAAAUAAAAAGAUCUAAACGUCUCGUUAGAAAAAAAUAUGGUUAUCAAACUAGUUUAUCCGCCAUUCUGACUUGGCGUUAUGGCAGUUAGCACGUAUGAGCCGAUACGAAUAACUUUUUUUACGGCAUGGUGGCUGGUGGGUGGGGGCUGAGUGUGCCUUUGCCAAAUGGCGAGUGGGUCGGACUGGGCUGGGGCAGUGCCGCAGUGGGGUGGGGGCGUGGCCAGUGGCCACUAGCCACUGCCGCUCCAGCGCCAGCGCCUCCUCGAAGCCAAUUCCGAUGCAUCCGCCUGCCACGACGCCACGUUUCGAGCUCGCGGUGGCGCCGGCCGCCGAGCACGGUGCGCGGCCACCGAAGGCACAAGGAACGGGAGGCACGGCAAGGACGCCCGGCGCUUGCCGCGAGCGAGGCAGGACACUCGCUGUCGCGCGCGCUCCGCAGCGGCCCAGCCUGCAAAGCAUGGCGCUGCAGCAGCGAUGGACGUUCGAUACGACUGAUGACGGAUGGACGGCGACGCGGCCGUGCUCUGCGCCUUGCCUGUCUCGUCGGGCUACGGCCGGAAUUGUGCCCGGCCGCUCCCGCGCCUAGGCCCGGCAUCAUGUCUCUCCGACGCUCCUCCCUACCGGCCCGGCCGGUGCCGGCGAAACGCAAACUAAAAUCAUGGCCGCCUUUUCUUCAGGUCUCCUCUGCUCUACGCGCGUACGUACGUAAUAAAUAUGGCUCCGGCGGGCUUCCUCUGCUGAAUCCUUUCUUUUGUUUCUGACUUUUCUCACAAUGGUUUCGCUUUCUCUGCAGGCUCUAGCGGUCCAGCCUCUAGUGCCGUGGCCUAUACGUACCUUUUGUCUAGUGUCAUCACUGGUAGGGAACUAGACGUACAAACAAGUACCACCUCUCACGUUCACUUGAAUUACUGUUUCACUUUACGCUGAUGCACCCGUGUACUCUCUCUCUCUCCCACAAUCAGGGUACUUUGGGAGACCCAAAACUGGAGGAAUUAGAGGGCCUAAUAUCACCUCCUUAUUUAAUUUUAAAUAAGAAGAGAAUUUUAACCUCUCUAAUCCCCUCCGAUUUUUGGACUCUCAAACUAGCCCUGACUGUUUGAAUUUAACUAAUUUACAAAAAUAUAUUAGUAAUAUCUAUAUCUUAAAAUAAAUUUAUAAUGAAACAACUUUAAUAAUAUAUCUAAUAAUUUAAAUUACAAAACAUUAAUGUUAAUAUCUUUCACAUGUUUGAUUAAAAUUAAAACAUUUUACUCCUCAUAAAUAUUUUUUUACGGAGGUAGCAGCGCACGCUCACACGUAGACCAACUGAAUAGUAAUGCACAUUUAGGCUAAAAAAACUAGAGAAAUACAGUACUUUAGGGCUAGUUUGACAACUAUAUUUUUCUAAAGUAUUCUCAUUUUUUCAAGGGAAAAUAGACUAAUUUAUCUUUAGAAAAUAUUUUUUUAAAAAAGUGGGGUUGCCAAACUAACCCUUAUGCGACAAUUUAAACUUUUUUAGAAGGGGCGGAACACUGGAUUUAACUAGAGUAGAGCAUGUAUAACUCCAUUAAUUAUGUUGAGUGGGCUCUAAAAGGAUACGUUAAAAAAGAAUCAAUAGACGCGGGGGGAGGCUACGUACGGCCCCCAGCUGUUAUCAUUGACGAUCCGGCUUGUUCGCUGGAUUUAACUAGAGUAGGCAGCUUGUUCGCUGCGGCUUGCUGCGGCUGCAAUCCGGCUGCGGCUGCGGCUUCUACAGUAUUUUUCUCUCUAUGGAUUGCAGCUGCAGCAGUCCAAACAGCUGCAACAGUGUCGGCUUGCAGCCAACCGAACACGCCCGUGGUCCGUGGCUAGCCUGGCGGCCUGGGCCAGGCGUGGCCUACUCCUGUAGAGGAGUUGCGCUCACUGUGUCCUCCCCUCCUCCACCCUGACACGGCGGGAGGCCGCGUGGGACGUCGGUCACGUGAGAGGGUCAGAGGGGACGACGAGUCGACGACCCGCCGGGCCGAUACAUGGGCCCUCGACGCGACGUGCAUGCACUGUGCUCGCUCUACGUAUGCUUCGUUCCACUUCCACCAGCCGCGUCCAAUCCCGCCAGUGCCCAGCGCGUAACAAGUGCCGCGACGAGCCACACCCACACGUACGGUCGUACACUACGUACGGCGCGCACGUGUGUCAGAUGGACUGGCUCGGCUGGAGCGACGCAACCCGAGGCGGAAGGAACCACCGAACGCCGCGCUGCCUCGCCCAUGCCGACCGCCCGGUCGGGUGACGCCGUGACGGUGGUGGCGGGGUUCGGUUCCGUUCCUUCUCGCGACUGUGCCGCCGGCAUGCUGGGCCGCCGAGUUGCGUGAGCGCAGGGGCUCUCUGCUGUGGUGGUGUGGCUUAAUUUCGGGCAUUUCGGGCGGCACCAACGCGGGCUCGACACGUCCUCAUUAAAUUCGGGCCCUGUGCGUGCCUGUGCGCGCGCAGCAGCGAGCGACCCGGAUAUCUGCCUCGGAUUCGCCGCCUCGCCUCUCUCUCUCUCCGGCCGAUCCCCAAUUGUGCCCGUCCCUCGCGCCGCUGCCGAGCUUUUUGGCUACUGCUACUGGGCUCGCCGCGCUCAUCAGGGCAAACGCAUACUACGCUACAAGUGAAGUGAGUGAUCGAUGACGACGGUAGCUAGCUAGUUUGGUGCGGUUCUCGUCGGACUAUGGGCUGUUUGGUUCAGCUUUUUUCUGACCAGCUUUUCUGAGAAUCUGGCUGUGGAAAGAAUCUGGCUGUGUAGAGAAUCUGAGUAUCAUUAUGAUUACGUGCGGAGGAAGAUAAAGGUGUCCAUAGGACUGAGGAUCUAGAAAGUGACGGAUUUCUACUAUUGCAACAACUCAACCGAUUAUGUGUUUAUGUUGAUGUUGAAUGGUUUUUAACCAAACGAAUUUUAUAGAAGCUGACUGAAAAGCUAAGCGUUUGGCAGUCCGCAGCAGUUUUUGGUGGCCAGAAGCUCCAAAAAGCUGAAACAAACAGGGCUUUAUUUGGUGCUUCACCGCCGGAGCCAGGCUAGCUAUACACUUUGUAGUUGUUUGUAGGGGUAUAUAGGAGCAGUAUCUACAGUAGCAGCACUCUUCACCGGUCCAGCUAGUAAAUGCGGUAUCUGUCGUCUGUCGAGCUAACCUAUCAUAUCAGCGCCAUGCGCCCCGGCCGGUCGUAACCUAGCUAGGAGUAGCUAGCUAGGACUAGCUAGCUAGGAGCCUAAGCGCCCAGCCCAGUGGGUGGUAGCCUACCAAGGGUGAGGAAGAGGAGCUGAGCUAGGACCGCGAGGCGAGCGAGAUCCAAUCUGCACCCCACGAACGAAAAGAUUCUUCCCCGCCGGCGUCGCUCUCUCAUCCGUCGACGUCUCGCUCCUUCCUUCCUCUCUCUCUCUCUCUCUCUCUCUCUCUCUCUCUCUCUCUUUCUCUCUCUCAGCCAGCAGCAAGCAUAUAGCCCAGCACCACCACAUGCCCAAGGGCCCUCCCUCUCCCUCGUCGUCGGGCCAAUUGAGUGUGAGAGCUCGAAAAAACCCAGGGGAUCGGCCGGACCAGCAGCGAGCGAGCGCGAGCUCUGCGUGCGUGUGUGUGUCUGCGCGCUAGAUUAGAUCACCUCCAUCGUCAAUAAUUGCAGGCAGAUCCAUAUAGUCUGCUGGUGGCGAGACAAAGCAACGGAUCGUCGUCGAUCCGGAGAGCGGAAAGCGCGCAGAUCGCGGCGGCCAUGGGGCGCGGGAAGGUGGUGCUGCAGCGGAUCGAGAACAAGAUCAGCCGCCAGGUCACCUUCGCCAAGCGCCGGAACGGCCUGCUCAAGAAGGCGUACGAGCUCUCCAUCCUCUGCGACGCCGAGGUCGCGCUCGUCCUCUUCUCCCACGCCGGCCGCCUCUACCAGUUCUCAUCCUCCUCCGAGUAAUCAAACCAAACAACCCUAUAUAUUACACAUAUAUAUUCGCUUCAGUCAUUCCCCUCUCUUUUUUUUUGUUACCUAAUUCUUCCUAGCUACUACUACUCACGCGCGCGUCCUUGCAUGAACUCAUGACGAGGUGGCGCUCUUUAAUUUGCUGGUUUCCCUUUUUUUUCCUCUCUCUCUUUUCUUUUCUGUUCUAUUGGGCAACGACUCCAACUGGUUCAGUACUCAUCUCUUCAGAUGCAUGGUUGCAUAGAAAGCCUACAAACGGACGGGGGGCCGGGGAAAAGCGAGCAGGGAGGUCGAUACAUGUAUGCGUAUACAUACGGUGUACGUCUGCGUGUGUCGCUCAUGGGAAGAAAAAAAACAGUAGAGCUUCAUUUGAUGUGCACCUCAUGAGUACCGCCUGGCCCGCAAAUGUACCAGUAGUAUUCGUGAUAUGCGUAGUACACGCUUAGCCUGGAUCCAACGUGCUAGCUAGCUGUGUUUUGGCAUGAUUCGACUAGAACAUGAACAUGGGCUUCCUGCAGACAUGUUAUUAGUGGAUGGUCUUAAGUUCUUAACAUAUGCAUGCGCUUUUAGUUUGUGAGUUCUAAUUCGGCAAGUACUUCUUUCUGUAAUUCUAUGUACGGUUAACUUUGUUGUUUGGAUAUAACAUCAUAUCUAGAUAGUGGGCAAACAUAUAUAUAGAACGUACAUGAAUUUGGUCUUAACAUGUCCAUGCACUUUUCCCAAUACAUUGCUUAUUGUAAACAUCUUUUUUUAUAUAAUCAACAAUGGAUAAUAUUAAUUCUUUUAUGAGCUCAGAGUUGUGAUAUAUACAUUUUGUGAUUUCUAGUACUACUCUCUUCUAACAUUAUAUGUGUUACUAUAAAUCUCAUUGUUCCAAAGAAAGACCCUAUUAUUACAACAAUGAUGUACGUUGAGAAAUGUAUGCAUUCUGCCAGUUUUUUACUCUGUGCAAAAACAAAGAGAUCUACUCUUAAAACGCAUCGCCUAAUUACAUGUAGCAGCUUCAUAUUAUGGGGAAGUUGCUCUAAAACCAUAUGAGCUAGCCGUGCAUGUCUUUAACCGGUCAAGAUUAAUAAGGGUGUAUCUGGAUGAUAGAAUCAGUUUUGUUUCUUAAUUGCUAGAAUCGGCAGAAUCUGUGCGAAAAAACGAUGUAGCUAAAAAACAUUUCUAUGUGAAUUAGGGAGAAACGUUUAAGCCUUCUGAACUAGAGAUGAAGAGAUAAACGAAGCUGUUUUGCCUGAUUUUAGUUUCCUAAUCCUAAUGUAGCUAACUAGCCAAACGGUUCAAUGAGGUGAUUCUGAUUCACUAAAGAAACAUUUCAGAAUCUGAAUCCGGAACAUUUUUAUAAGAAUCUAGAACCUAACAAACACACCCUAAUCCGGAACAUUUCACAAUAUUUUAUUAAAUUACCUUUUGAGACUAAUCUUAGUAUUUGGUCGUAUUGUUUUCAAACUAAAUAUUAAAGACUUUCCUGAUAGUCAAACUUGUAAAAGUUUGAUCUAAACCUUGUCCAAAACAAAAAAAAAGUAUUGUGAACUAAAGAGAGAGUACUUAGUGAACCAUGAAAUGUGACAAGUAGCCCUCUAAAACUACGUCACUAGAUUUGACACUAGUAGGUGCUAUAGUCAACUUGUGAUGUGUUCUUUCGUGAAUCAAUAACUUUGGGUGCUUUUCAUUGACUCUCAAGUUUCACUAAUAUACAAUAUACUGAUCCAUACCAUGAUAAGUACUUUUGUUGCAUUUUUUUGACUUAUGCCAUAUGUUGGGAAAACAGUGAUCAAAUAUAUGUAUGGUAGACUACGCCAAUGUCAUACAUGAACAACAAAACCAUACUUGGUCCCAAUGGCUCUGUGGUCAUUUUAGUGCUCACAUUUUUACCUAUAUUUUUAUUGAAACUAACACUUUCUUUAUAAAAAAUUAAAAUAAUCUCCAUAUAUAGUGGUCUAAUCCAUGCAUAGUGCAAGCUCCAAACCAUAUAACUUCACUUGCCUUCUCUAGUCUUAUAUAAACAACUGAGAUAAGCUUGUAAAUUCGGCAUAGGAAUUUAUUAGUAUGAUGAGUGUCGCCGAUGCUUACAGAUUCCAUUGAAUCAAUUUUCUUAGAGGCACGUAACCUCCAAUCAAGCAAAAAGGAAAAACAAUCAAAUUAUUUAAUUAGAAAGGAAUAACGAACGUGCAGAAAUAAUGUUUUCCUUUUGCUAGAUGCAUUAUCUAGCUGGCAUGGUUUCUAUAGCCUCUUCAUGAGUUUUUGUUUCUAUCAUGUGUAUCUCUCUCUCUCUAUAUAUAUCACUUAUUCAUUAUUUUAUUGCCUUAAUACCAGUCUGCUUAAGACUCUAGAGCGGUACCAGAGGCACAUCUAUGCUUCAGCUGAUGCUGCAGUGCCAUCUAGCGAUGAGAUGCAGGUGCGCGGACUAUCGAUUUUACUACUAUUAUUGCAACAUUUUAAUAUAGGUGGUACUACUUUUUUUUUAUCAUGUGUAACAUUAUACAGGUUCUGAAACUGUACAUAUCAGGUUAAUAAUUUAUUCAAACUCGAUCACUUGUCACCAGCUAAUAAUGCCCUUCACAAUAACAAAACUAUAAGUUUAUGUUUAUUUUCUUAUUAUUUAUCAUUGAUUUGUUCUGAAAACACUUGAUCACCAAGCCGUGCAUUUGUAUUUCAGUAUUUUAUUUCUGAAGCAAUGAUUUCCAUCAAAACAAAUUCAGUAUAAGUCUAAGUGCUAGUGAAAAUUCUUGCUCAAUUUGGUUGUACAAGAGCUACUGUUAGUUUAGGCGCCUUUUGCUCCAAUACUUAGGAUGACACCGUCAAAUGCGCAACAAAACUGCUGUGGCUUUAAUUCAUAUAAUAGUCUUCUUGAAGAUCAACCAUUGCAGUGACGAACUGACGAUCGUGAAAUUUUGUGUUUAUAUAUUUAGUUGUUGCUGAAUCUGAGUAGUUUCAGUUUUGUUUGGAUUCUGGACAGCAGGUCUAGAAGACUAGAACAAUAUCCUCACAAACACAAUGAACCAUGAGAAACAUUGAAAUAAAUUGCAAUACUUGCUAUAGCAGUUGAAGAAAAAAAAAAGAGCGUGUACUGUAUCAGUCAUCAAGUGUUAGGUGCACUGGCCUAGCUAGUUCAUCAGUUUUAUGGUAGCCCGCCAUAAAAAAAAUGAAAUGUUUCUUCAUCCAUGUUAUCCAUGUCGUUAACGUUACUUUAAAUUAUCCAGUAGUUAUUUACCUAGUUGCAAAUGCAAUGAAGCAUUCAACAUGUUCAUGGCCAAUAAUUACCUGGCUGGCUAUAUAUGCUUACCAAAUUUCAAAAUAUUUUUCCAGCAUAGAUGGCCAAUGCCGUGAUGCUAUCAACAAGCCAGUGACAUGCAAUUGUCGGAGUUACAGUACUUGCUUUAUGAUCUACUAGACCUUACUGCAUGUAUUUAACCAAUAAGAACAAUAUAUGGUACUAGAUUAAUAAAAUCUACAUAUUUUAAUGACAAUAUUACAGACUGUGCAUUUUUAUAUACAAGUAAACAUCAUCAUUACAUGCAUGCAAUCCAUUUGUUAAAACACUAACCACUAUGUUUUAUAAAAAUGAUUUUUAUCAUCAAUAUUGCAUAACAAAAACUAUUAGGACAUCUUGGCAAUGCAGAAAUUCACAUGAAUCAGUUUAUUUUCAUAGAAAAAAUACAGGUAACAAAGGGGAAAAAUCCUACAAUCCAAAUGAGACCUUAUAUGUUCUCAUGCAUAAGUUUGCUAUCAUACACUAUAACCAUAAAAGGAUCAUGGUAGAAUAUGUUCUCAUGCAUAUGUUCACAUGAAAGGAUUGUUAUAAAUUAAAGAGAGUAGAUGUGGAGACUUUUGGGACCUCUCCAUCCAAUACCUGAUAUCUGAAAAUGCAGAAUAACUAUCAAGAAUAUGUGAAGCUGAAAGCACGAGUUGAGGUUUUACAACACUCGCAAAGGUACGACAUUUACAUAACUACAUAAGUUCGUUUCUAUUUUUCCUCUUUGUGAUUCUACUCCAAAUUUUGCUUUGUUUUGGUAAAGAAAGUGCUGGUGAACCCACUGCAGGAAUCUUCUUGGUGAAGAACUGGCUCCACUUAGCCCAAGUGAACUUGACCAGCUUGAGAGUCAAGUAGACAAGACCUUGAAGCAAAUAAGAUCAAGAAAGGUAAACUGAUUAAAUGGGAAGUGAUUCAAGGUGAAAUGUUGUCAAUAGUAUUUUGUGCACAACAGAAUUUUAGUGAACAACAUUUUAUAAUCCAUGACGUGGCACUUUCCUUCCUUAUAUCUGAACCAAUCCAUGAUAUAUUGCAAUUUGACUUGCAUUGACUAUUCAUUCAAUUAAUGACUUGCACUUGGAAGGAUAAAGGGUGCGGUGGGAAAAUGUUGAUUCGUGCUACUUUCAUUUAAGUUAAAAUUUGAAACAAUGUAGAAACAAAAGCGUUGAGGCGUAUACAAUUCAGGAGACGCUAGUACUUAACCGGUAUUUAAAACUUAGAUUGCAGAUACUUAAUGAUGCUACAAUCUACCAUUUUUGUAACCUUGUAUCAAAAAGCCAUUUCUAUUUUCUUCUGUACUAUACUACUAUUACAUGAAAUUUGGAAUGCUUCGCCAUGUUGCUAUCCAAGUGACACUCUUCUAUGCAUGUUUUCAUUUGCAUUUGGCAGACUCAGGUGUUACUUGAUGAACUUUGCGACUUAAAGAGAAAGGUAAUACCACAGCAAUGUUACUAUGGCUCUCCGUUUCCAUACUGAAAUCCAAGAUAUGCCUGACCAUCUGGCACUCAUUUCCUGCAGGAACAAAUGCUGCAAGACGCUAACAGGGUUCUGAAAAGGAAGGUAAGUGACAGUUGAACUGGGAAACUCAUAGCACGCACGGUUGGCACUGGCAGUAGUAGCUCAUGCAAACAGUGGCUCUCCGGCUACCUCUGCGUUUGCUGACACACCUUUGAAGCUGAACCGGUGUUGUCAUUUGUAUAUAGUGCAGUUCAUAGAUGCAGCCUCUGUUUGCAGCAUUCCAACUCUCUUGAAUUUUUUGCCGGGUCGUUUAUUGUUGUGCUGCUAUUGUUUCAGCUGCACGAGUUUGAGGCAGAGGCUGCUUCUCCCCCACAAUUGGCGUGGCAAGGCGGAGGCGGCAUGUUGUCCCAUGACCCUCCACAGCCAGAACACUUCUUCGUGGCUCUGGAGAGCAACGCGCCUCUGCAACCUACGUAAUUCCUCUCUCUCUCUCUCUCACGCGCACGCACAGUUGUCUCUGUGUCCUGAAUGCUGCACUACUUCCGUUAUUGCAGAUACCAUACUAUGGACAUGAACCAGCAGCCAGAGCCAGCGCCGGGCGGCUGCUACCCUCCUGCGUGGAUGGCUUAGCCAGCGCUUUGGUUCCAUUGCCUUGACAAGUGCCGUGUCCUUCAGAGAUCGCUACGAGUCCUGCUGCUGCUUUUGCGAACCCCCCCUUUGCUGCCUGCCAUGCUUACCGAACUGUUCAAAUAAGAAAUAACCACAUGGUCCUAUAUAGGUUGCUGUUGUCUUUAUCUUCUGUUGAUCACGUCCUGCUCAGAUGCUUUAAACGCUAUGCAAAAUGGCUUAGCGAUGCAUGCUGGAAUGGGCUGAACUGCUUGUGUUUUGGGAGUAUAAAUCGCUUGGGCGCUUGGCAAU